This 1725-nucleotide long non-coding RNA is filed under the name Mytilus galloprovincialis (Mediterranean mussel). The record is from RNAcentral. Lineage: Eukaryota; Metazoa; Mollusca; Bivalvia; Mytilida; Mytilidae.
AUUUCAUUCUGUAUAUAGAAUUUCGAUUUAAACUGCUUUCCAAUAAGAAUUUCUGAUAGGACCACCAGUAAAUUUUGAAAUAUAUUUAGACUAAUAAUUAAUUGUAUGGGGGGCUGGAAGAGUUGAAUGUACCUAAUUUUAAUAAUAAAUUAAAGCAGUAGUGAGGUUAAAAACAACUCUACUAUAAUGCAUUACAUUUCUAAUUUAAUUUGUAUGGGUGGUGAUCUUCAGUAAAAGUGUCUUUUAAUCCAUCACCCCAUCCAUUUAAUUUUGAAAAAGCCAUAACCCUAUACCAGAAUCUGUAUAUUCCUAAGUCUUUCAUUCCUUAAGAUAUUUUGGUAAGAACUUUAUUUAUUAUUAUUGUAGAUAAUUAACAUAAAACCAGAAUUAUUUAGAUAGACAUAAACAGAUUUGUUUUACUUAUAAACACUGAAAAAAAUAUAUUACCAAUGCAUUUUGAAGAUCUGGAUAAUGCAGGAGUUAUUUCCCCUUAACCAGUCAUUGAUAUAUUUUGCAAUGCCUGUGGGUUUUCUUUCUAAUACAUUGUCAUCAUAAUUUUUUUUUUUAAAUAUAUGUUUAAAUUGUUACUGCAAUAUUCAUGAUGGUAUAUUUGUCUUUUCCAGUUGUAUAUUUUUUAAAUGUUUCCUGGAUACUGUAGGAUCAGCAUAUUUUCAACCAUCCUUUUGUCUGGUAAUACAACCCUUAAUUAUUCAGAUCUACCAUACCUGCCAACCUCUGAAACCUUCAAAGAGAGAGAUCAACCCCCACCCCCUCUAAACUGAAAUCAUGUAAUUUUGAUUAUUUGGCAUAGCAGCUUUUUAACAGUCCUUAUUUUCUCAAGCCAUACAUUUUUGAAGUUUAUAUUAUUCUAUGUGAACUGUUUUGUCAUUUUAACAAUGCAUUACAUAAGUAGCAUUGAAAUGCAUUACAUCUUAUAAUGUAAACUUUUUUUGUUUCCAAUUUUGACAUCAUCUUUAAUAUCAUUGUGAAAUAUUUUAAUGUAACUUUUUUUUAACUUGGUACAUAUUUCUUUCCUUUUGGGAUCUGCUUACAUUAGCAGACUUGUAACAUAUGUUAGUAUUUUACAAUUGUUUGAAAACAUAGUAUAAAGAAUAUACUUAUUUUUGGUAAAAAAACAUAUUUUAUACUCUUAUUUUUAUUGAACUGUAAUUUACAAAUUAAUGCAUAAAAAGACAAUAGGAAUUGCCAAAAAUUGAAGGAAAACAGACCAUAUCACCCAUGAAACAGACAGCUUUAUAGAUAUACAAACAAUACCAACACUUAUGAACAACACAUUAAGCUUCAGAAAUAUGUCCUGAAGACACAUGUUUAGUUGGAUCUAACUGCAAAGUAUUUGAUGAGCAUAUUAAAUAUUUACAAAUGAACUAAAAUUGUAUAAACUACCUAUUGAGCAAUUAAAAAAUAGAAAUCAAGGUAUAUAAUAUUAUUCUCACAAUGUCCAGAUGUUAUGGUUUAAGAAAAAGAAAUGAUAUGAUGAAUAGAAUUUAUAUUCAACUUUUCACAAGUUUGAAAUUUUCUUAAAUUUAUCUAGUUUUCCGAGCAACAAUAUGAAUGUAUAUUGCCCUAUAUGUAAAUAUAAAACUGUCCAUUUUCAUAUGUAACAUUACAAUGUUGGGUACCAUUUGAAAAUAUAACUGAAGUGGUUUGUCAUAUCUGUUGUUUUUGUUAUUUGUUUACAUUUGUGUAAAUAUGAAGUCAUAAUUU